RNAcentral lists this ribosomal RNA (366 nucleotides) under Triticum aestivum (bread wheat). Its description in RNAcentral is "partial small subunit ribosomal RNA". Lineage: Eukaryota; Viridiplantae; Streptophyta; Magnoliopsida; Poales; Poaceae. The record is from RNAcentral.
AUGGGGCUUGCACUCUCUGCACACUCGUCUAUCCGAUUGGAUUGUUGUUAUCUGCUUGUGUUUGCAUGUGGAUUGCCUUCGUGCGUUUCAGAUCAGUGCGUGCGUCUCCAGGCUUCAGAUUUGCGUGCGUACUUGGUCACGACGUGCACAGUCCAGUUGAGGGGCAGUACUAGUGUAGUAGUACUGAUUAACGUGCAGCUUGUCGAAGCUGCUGGGUACAUGCCGACCCACUGGAACAAAGAAAGAAAGAAAUUUGUGCGACUACGCGACUGCAACUUGAGGGGUGGACAGAACGGUCGACGUCUGCUUGGAUUGGGUGGACUGAACGAGUACACAAUGCUCUGCAUAUUGCCAAAAGCAACUUGA